This 1343-nucleotide ribosomal RNA is filed under the name uncultured bacterium. RNAcentral describes it as "16S ribosomal RNA". It matches the Rfam family "Bacterial small subunit ribosomal RNA", at positions 28 to 1378 of the family's 1533-position model. The record is from RNAcentral.
GACGAACGCUGGCGGCGUGCUUAACACAUGCAAGUCGAACGGAAAGGCCCUGCUUUUGUGGGGUGCUCGAGUGACGAACGGGUGAGUAACACGUGAGUAACCUGCCCUUGACUUUGGGAUAACUUCAGGAAACUGGGGCUAAUACCGGAUAGGAGCUCCUGCUGCAUGGUGGGGGUUGGAAAGUUUCGGCGGUUGGGGAUGGACUCGCGGCUUAUCAGCUUGUUGGUGGGGUAGUGGCUUACCAAGGCUUUGACGGGUAGCCGGCCUGAGAGGGUGACCGGCCACAUUGGGACUGAGAUACGGCCCAGACUCCUACGGGAGGCAGCAGUGGGGAAUAUUGCACAAUGGGCGGAAGCCUGAUGCAGCAACGCCGCGUGCGGGAUGACGGCCUUCGGGUUGUAAACCGCUUUCGCCUGUGACGAAGCGUGAGUGACGGUAAUGGGUAAAGAAGCACCGGCUAACUACGUGCCAGCAGCCGCGGUGAUACGUAGGGUGCGAGCGUUGUCCGGAUUUAUUGGGCGUAAAGGGCUCGUAGGUGGUUGAUCGCGUCGGAAGUGUAAUCUUGGGGCUUAACCCUGAGCGUGCUUUCGAUACGGGUUGACUUGAGGAAGGUAGGGGAGAAUGGAAUUCCUGGUGGAGCGGUGGAAUGCGCAGAUAUCAGGAGGAACACCAGUGGCGAAGGCGGUUCUCUGGGCCUUUCCUGACGCUGAGGAGCGAAAGCGUGGGGAGCGAACAGGCUUAGAUACCCUGGUAGUCCACGCUGUAAACGGUGGGUACUAGGUGUGGGGUCCAUUCCACGGGUUCCGUGCCGUAGCUAACGCUUUAAGUACCCCGCCUGGGGAGUACGGCCGCAAGGCUAAAACUCAAAGGAAUUGACGGGGCCCCGCACAAGCGGCGGAGCAUGCGGAUUAAUUCGAUGCAACGCGUAGAACCUUACCUGGGUUUGACAUGGAUCGGGAGUGCUCAGAGAUGGGUGUGCCUCUUUUGGGGUCGGUUCACAGGUGGUGCAUGGCUGUCGUCAGCUCGUGUCGUGAGAUGUUGGGUUAAGUCCCGCAACGAGCGCAACCCUUGUUCACUGUUGCCAGCACGUUAUGGUGGGGACUCAGUGGAGACCGCCGGGGUCAACUCGGAGGAAGGUGGGGAUGACGUCAAGUCAUCAUGCCCCUUAUGUCCAGGGCUUCACGCAUGCUACAAUGGCUGGUACAGAGAGUGGCGAGCCUGUGAGGGUGAGCGAAUCUCGGAAAGCCGGUCUCAGUUCGGAUUGGGGUCUGCAACUCGACCUCAUGAAGUCGGAGUCGCUAGUAAUCGCAGAUCAGCAACGCUGCGGUGAAUACGUUCCCGGG